This 869-nucleotide ribosomal RNA is filed under the name uncultured archaeon. RNAcentral describes it as "bacterial SSU rRNA". It matches the Rfam family "Archaeal small subunit ribosomal RNA", at positions 1 to 878 of the family's 1478-position model. The record is from RNAcentral.
CUCCGGUUGAUCCUGCCGGACCCGACUGCUAUCAGAGUGGGACUAAGCCAUGCGAGUCAACGCCGCAAGGCGUGGCAUACGGCUCAGUAACACGUAGUCAACAUGCCCAGGGGACGUGGAUAACCUCGGGAAACUGAGGAUAAACCGCGAUAGGCCAAGGUUUCUGGAAUGGACACUGGCUGAAACCUAUAUGGCCCCUGGAUUGGACUGCGGCCGAUCAGGCUGUUGGUGAGGUAAUGGCCCACCAAACCUGUAACCGGUACGGGCUUUGAGAGAAGGAGCCCGGAGAUGGGCACUGAGACAAGGGCCCAGGCCCUAUGGGGCGCAGCAGGCGCGAAACCUCUGCAAUAGGCGAAAGCUUGACAGGGUUACUCUGAGUGAUGCCCGCUAAGGGCAUCUUUUGGCACCUCUAAAAAUGGUGCAGAAUAAGGGGUGGGCAAGUCUGGUGUCAGCCGCCGCGGUAAUACCAGCACCCCGAGUGGUCGGGACGAUUAUUGGGCCUAAAGCAUCCGUAGCUUGUUCUGCAAGUCCUCCGUUAAAUCCACCUGCUCAACAGAUGGGCUGCGGGGGAUACUACAGGGCUAGGAGGCGGGAGAGGCAAACGGUACUCAGUGGGUAGGGGUAAAAUCCUCUGAUCCACUGAAGACCACCAGUGGCGAAGGCGGUUUGCCAGAACGCGCUCGACGGUGAGGGAUGAAAGCUGGGGGAGCAAACCGGAUUAGAUACCCGGGUAGUCCCAGCUGUAAACGAUGCAGACUCGGUGAUGGGUUGGCUUCGAGCCAACCCAGUGCCGCAGGGAAGCCGUUAAGUCUGCCGCCUGGGGAGUACGGUCGCAAGACUGAAACUUAAAGGAAUUGGCGGGGGGAGCA